UAAGACGGGGGGCCCGUGGCCACCAAGGCGCCGCAGGACACACGGGUCCUGUCCCGAGGCUCAUUGCCCUGAAGCCCCUGCCCUGACAGUGGUGGAACGGCCUGGUAAGUUACCGCUACAAUUAGUGUCUGCUUUAUAGUUUCAGUUGCUGGCAAAGAAGGACACGGGAGCGCUUUCCAAAGAACCACCAGGGGUUGCUGGUGCUGCUGGGGCCUUGGUGGGGGGCUGGCAGGGGCUGCUGCCCAGCGGGCUCACACCUGCUUCCACUGCCCCCCGCCUGAGCACACGCUUUCACCCGUCCCCCGUUGCUUCUUCCCCUCAGGCAGAAUUCUCUAGAUCGAAUCACAGUGUCAUGAAAUGGCCAAAUCAACGCGGUUCAGCUUGGCAUGGGCUUGGCUGUCAGCAACAAAGAGACGGGACGAUUCCUGACCUCAAAGGAACAAAGUCUGUAACCCACUCAGGAACCAACACAGAGGUGAAGACAAAAAGAUGACUUUGCAUCAUUGCUCUUGGUCCUGGACUUUACCCUGUGUGCUCAUGGACUUCAGACCGGGAAUCCUGAGGCAGUGACUUGUAGUGGCUCAGACUGGAGCAACGUUUAAAAAUUAAGAACAACACUGUUGAUGUGGAAAUACCAUCAAUGAUAUAAGGCAGGCUUGCAAAAGAAACAAGUUUUAUUAUCUGCAGACAGAGGCAGCUUCGUUUUCAACUUUGCACGCUGAAAUCAUUUCGGAUUGCCAGAAUGUUGUUCAGACAGCUCGGAGGAUCCCGAAUCCCACCCCGCGACAGCUUCCCCAGUGUCAACAUUUCUGAAAACUAGGAGGCACGUGGGGACCUGCACGCCUGGCCCCUGCGGUUGGCUGGGGCCGCUGAGUUGUGAGGCUCGCCUGCAGGAGGACCUGAUGGCCAGCGUGAGGCCCCAGCGCCGUGGCUUCCUUUCUGCCGAAGCAACUAGCGAUGAGGCUUCCGACAGCGCGGGCUCCGUCCUCCCGGGGCUCCGUCCUCCCGGGGCUCCAUCCUCCCGGGGCUCCGUCCUCCGGGGUGAGGGCGGCCUGGAGCAGAGCCUGUCUGAACACUGAGGACGCGAAGCCUGCGCGAGACAGGAACCUUGAUGCUCUCAGAGACGUCUGCUGCACAGUGUGGCCCCGCGUGUCCCGAGAGCUGCAGCGCUGUAAGGAAUGACUUUCCCAGAGGUCAUCCGUGUGCUUCUGGCCAGACGCCUGGGAGGCUCUCCAGUGCCCCUGGAUUUCAGCCAAGCGUUUGGCGCUUGGUCCCCACCCCACCCCCCCGAAUCUCCCCCAGCUUCUUCCUGUUUCCUCGCCCUCCCGCCGCCUACCUGCCCCUCGCCUCACACUCCACUCCGGCCAUUGCUCGCUCUCGUUUCUGGAGACUUUAUCCAUUGUCUUGGCUUCAAGUCAGAUUCCAACUCUAAUUCCGUGUUCUCUCUGUUCAUACAACUUCUCCGCAGCUCAGGGUGACCCGAAGCAGACUUAUCUCGUCUCCAGACUGCUACUCUCGGCCGCCUCCCUGUCCCUGCCGGCGCCUCUGCUCCCCCAAAAACCUGGAACUCGGGGCGCCCUCCUCCUCCCUUCCUCCACGUGGGCCCAUCAGCCAGGAGGUUCUGCUGAGAACAGACCCCUCUCCUUCCAGCUCCUCCGCACCAGUGCCCGCAACGGCUCAGGACGAGCUAGCAGACCUGAGCUCCCCUCGGAGUCUCUCGAUCCGUCCCGCGCCUCAGCCCCAGCCCUGGCUCCCGAGCAUCCGCCUCCCUCUCGGUCUCCUGGACCGCGUCCUGCCUUCCUCCCCCGUCAGGUGGGGCUCAGGCGUCUCUGUCUGUGUCCGCUCCGCUCGACGUCAGGCACUGAGCUUCCGUCUCCAGUCUUCUCGCCCUCUCCCUGCGUGGCCACCUCGCUGCGAAUGGUGGACGCGUUCACCCCGUGGUCCCAGCCUCCCGGCCCAUCCUUCAUCUGUUAUCGGCACCAUGACGCUGGAGGAAGGUGCCUCCCCACUGUGUGUGAUUCUGGUGGGGUGUCUACCAGGGGCGGCAGUGGCCACAUCAGUUACGUGUGAUACAGGAGACUUCGUCUUCUAGUCUUCCUAGCAGAGUCCCUGGGUGUGCCCGUCGUCCCGACAGAAUCACCAACAGCGCCCCGUUUUCACUCCUGGAAGCGUCUCAGCAUCACGUGUUGCCACCUCACACGUGACCCACGAAAGCACGCCAGCGUCCACCCUGGGACUCUGGCACGGACGCGGGGAGACAGUCGCUCACUGCUGGCAGCUCUGUCCCCCCCCCAACAGAGUGGAGGGGCUUUCAGAGGCGAGGGCGUCCAGGGCCCCAUCUGAGUUCCUGGAUCCGAGCACAUCUCGAGGCCAGGAGCCUAUAGACUCCCCUUUGGGGAAAGUCUGUUUUGAGGGGGUUCCCGUCACCCGCAGUCAGGAGUCCUGCUGACACAGCUCUGGCUCGGGCAGCCCUCCCCUCCGCAGCCCACCACCCCACCUCCGAGGGCCGGCAGGAGCCCCCACGCGUGAGCCCUUCCUAGACAUUUGGCGUCACUCUCUCAGGCUCGCCCUGGGACGCGGUUCCCCGGAGUCCUAGUGACCGCCGCCUCCGGCCUGCAAGCUCGCACACACAGUGUCUAGACUUCAUGCCCCAUUGUUUCCGGAGGGGGCUCUUUUCUUCCUCCAGGAUGGAGACUGUAAGCUCAUGGGAAGAGACAGGGACCCAGCUGAAUCUUUCUUGUAUUUUCCUGAGGCCAAACAGGGUGCUGGGCACACAGCGGGCACCCAAUAAAUAUUUGUUGAGGAUAUGAAUUAUAAACUAAGGGUAAUAUUGACUGUGUCCAGGCCGAGGAGAGAGAGUCCUGGGGGAAACGGGCAGCGGAGAGUCGCCUGUUUAAGCAGCUGGACACGCAGGCGGGCAGGGAACAGGUUUCAUCCUUUCUUCAGUCAUAAUGGCUUCUCCUGCCUGUACCCCGCUUCCUUACCACAGACACCAUUCUGUCCCCUGGGCUCUUCACCCCACUUCAGCCUGCCUGCGCCCCUACCUCUGGGGCCGCUCCAAAGGCAACAGUGACCAACGUGUGACCGACAUGUCACAAAACAGAGACACGCAGGCUUCCCUCUGUCUCCCAGCAGCAGGAGGCAGGUGACCCGUGCUUCCUCCCAGGUUCUCUCUCCUCGCUCGGCUUCCACAAGGCUUUCCUCUCAUUCCCGGUCGGCUAGGCCUGCACAUCUUUCUCUGAUCUUUAAACGCUGGACUUUGCUAAGGCGGACCCUCUCCUCCUCCACGGGUGUCCUUUCCCGGGGCGAUCUCGGCACUUAUGGAUUUAAUUGCCAUCUUUAUGCUGUCGAUUUCCCAACGUUGUUUCUCCAGGUCAGACCUUUGCUCUGACUUCUACUCAUGUAUCCAUGUGCUUAUUUGCCAACUCUCCCCUUUUGUCCCAUAGCAGAUACCGAUACAUCCUAAAUUGAAACAUUUUUUUCCAAGUGUCAGUAAGAAUGCUUUGGCUACAGAAAAAACUGUCUCAGGUUACAAGCAGUCCAGAGGCAGGGAAAUUGAUGGUCAGCUCAACGUAAUCAACGACGCGGGUUCUCUCCACCUUUCUGCGCUGCUGUCUCUGUUUGACUUGAUCCUUAAGCUUUGCCCUUCGUGUUAACGAGAAGGCCACUAUUUUCAAGCAUCACAAAACAUUCUUCUGGAAGAGGCCUAUGUCCUAAUGGAUGUCUCUCUUUGAUUAGGAAGGAAAUCUUUUCCCAGAAGCCCCUCUCCCUGGACCACAUGCUGAUGCCCUGCCUACAAGGGGAGCAGUGAAGGUGGGUAAGGCUUCUGUGUUUCCAUGGUUUCUAUGGUGACUGUCAUCUCUGUCACCUAGACUGCAGCCACAGCCUCUUACCUGCUCGCCCAGCUUCUGCUCUGGCCUCUUCCCCAUCCGCCUGUCUGCCACAAACUGCGGAUGAACACGUUUUAAAAUACAGGGUGUGCAGCCAGUAUAACGUCAACGUGUUUUCUUUUCUCCAUCAAGACUAGGCCCUGGGACUUCGCUGGUGGCGCAGUGGUUAAGACUACACGCUCCCAAUGCGGGGGGCUUGGGUUCAAUCCCUGGUCAGGGAACUAGAUCCCACAUGCAUGCUGCAACUAAGAGUUCGCACGCCACAGCUAAGGAGCCCGUGAGCCGCAACUAAAGACCCAGUGCGACCAAAUAAAUAUUUUUAAAAACCCAAAAAAGGCUAGGCCCUGCAGUGACACUCAUGGCUGCACGGAAGGGUCUGUCUAGACCAA
Long non-coding RNA from Physeter macrocephalus (sperm whale), 4279 nucleotides. RefSeq lists it as uncharacterized. Lineage: Eukaryota; Metazoa; Chordata; Mammalia; Artiodactyla; Physeteridae. The record is from RefSeq and is a predicted model, not a curated record. The transcript is spliced from 4 exons.